This 233-nucleotide ribosomal RNA is filed under the name uncultured bacterium. RNAcentral describes it as "partial 16S ribosomal RNA". It matches the Rfam family "Bacterial small subunit ribosomal RNA", at positions 100 to 334 of the family's 1533-position model. The record is from RNAcentral.
CGGGACGGGUGAGUAAUGUCUGGGAAACUGCCUGAUGGAGGGGGAUAACUACUGGAAACGGUAGCUAAUACCGCAUAAUGUCUACGGACCAAAGCGGGGGACCUCCGGGCCUCGCGCCAUCAGAUGAACCCAUAUGGGAUUAGCUAGUAGGUGGGGUAACGGCUCACCUAGGCGACGAUCCCUAGCUGGUCUGAGAGGAUGACCAGCCACACUGGAACUGAGACACGGUCCAG